RNAcentral lists this ribosomal RNA (432 nucleotides) under uncultured bacterium. RNAcentral describes it as "partial 16S ribosomal RNA". It matches the Rfam family "Bacterial small subunit ribosomal RNA", at positions 29 to 507 of the family's 1533-position model. The record is from RNAcentral.
GCGAACGCUGGCGGCAGGCCUAACACAUGCACGUCGAACGGAUCCUUCGGGAUUAGUGGCGGACGGGUGAGUCACACGUGGGAACGUGCCCUUUGGUUCGGAACAACUCAGGGAAACUUGAGCUAAUACCGGAUGUGCCCUUCGGGGGAAAGAUUUAUCGCCAUUGGAGCGGCCCGCGUCUGAUUAGCUAGUUGGUGAGGUAACGGCCCACCAAGGCGACGAUCAGUAGCUGGUCUGAGAGGAUGAUCAGCCACACUGGGACUGAGACACGGCCCAGACUCCUACGGGAGGCAGCAGUGGGGAAUCUUGCGCAAUGGGCGAAAGCCUGACGCAGCCAUGCCGCGUGAAUGAUGAAGGUCUUAGGAUUGUAAAAUUCUUUCAGCGGGGACGAUAAUGACGGUACCCGCAGAAGAAGCUCCGGCUAACUUCGUG